CUCUGUGACUCCUACGGGAGGCAGCAGUGAGGAAUAUUGGUCAAUGGACGCAAGUCUGAACCAGCCAUGUCGCGUGCAGGAAGACUGCCCUAUGGGUUGUAAACUGCUUUAUACGGGAAGAAAUAUAGCUACGUGUAGUUAUUUGCCGGUACCGUAUGAAUAAGCAUCGGCUAACUCCGUGCCAGCAGCCGCGGUAAUACGGAGGAUGCGAGCGUUAUCCGGAUUCAUUGGGUUUAAAGGGUGCGUAGGCGGAAGUAUAAGUCAGGGGUGAAAGUUUGUGGCUCAACCAUAAAAUUGCCUUUGAUACUGUAUUUCUUGAGUACAUUUGAGGUAGGCGGAAUGUGUUGUGUAGCGGUGAAAUGCUUAGAUAUAACACAGAACACCGAUUGCGAAGGCAGCUUACUAAACUGUAACUGACGCUGAUGCACGAAAGCGUGGGGAUCGAACAGGAUUAGAUACCCUGGUAG
Molecule: ribosomal RNA, 467 nt
Filed under: uncultured bacterium
Lineage: Bacteria
Description: bacterial SSU rRNA
Rfam family: Bacterial small subunit ribosomal RNA
Source: RNAcentral